Molecule: ribosomal RNA, 253 nt
Filed under: uncultured bacterium
Lineage: Bacteria
Description: partial 16S ribosomal RNA
Rfam family: Bacterial small subunit ribosomal RNA
Source: RNAcentral
UACGGGGGGGGCAAGCGUUGUCCGGAAUUACUGGGCGUAAAGAGCUCGUAGGUGGUUUGUCGCGUUGUUCGUGAAAACUCACAGCUCAACUGUGGGCGUGCGGGCGAUACGGGCAGACUGGAGUACUGCAGGGGAGACUGGAAUUCCUGGUGUAGCGGUGGAAUGCGCAGAUAUCAGGAGGAACACCGGUGGCGAAGGCGGGUCUCUGGGCAGUAACUGACGCUGAGGAGCGAAAGCGUGGGGAGCGAACAGG